This 163-nucleotide ribosomal RNA is filed under the name uncultured bacterium. RNAcentral's name for it is "partial 16S ribosomal RNA". It matches the Rfam family "Bacterial small subunit ribosomal RNA", at positions 355 to 510 of the family's 1533-position model. The record is from RNAcentral.
UAGGGAAUCUUCGGCAAUGGACGAAAGUCUGACCGAGCAACGCCGCGUGAGUGAAGAAGGUUUUCGGAUCGUAAAACUCUGUUGUUAGAGAAGAACAAGGGUGAGAGUAACUGUUCACCCCUUGACGGUAUCUAACCAGAAAGUCACGGCUAACUACGUGCAG